UAACAAAAUACUAAAGCAAGUAUGAUAAACUGAUAUAAUCUACUGAAAUAGAAUCCCAACAACACACUUCCCAAAAUUGGUAGUACAAGUUAUAAGCUCUACUGAGUUCACUAAAAAUUCUCUAAGUAUAAUUGUUUCGGAAUAGAGAUAAACAAUACAAAAUAAACUUCAGAAGGUGACUCUUAGGCCUGUGAACGUGACGGCAUGUAUACCUUGAGUCUCCACAUCGAUGUUCGAUCGGCUAGCUAAUAAUAGACAAACUCCAGAGUACCUGGAUCGGCACAAAUAUGUACAGAAAGCAUAGGAUGAGUACACCACAGCGGUACCUAGUAAGUAUCAAGACUAACCUCGAUGGAACAGUGACGAGGGACAGUCAAGACACCUAUUAGACGUAAUAACCUGUACAAUUAUGAAUAUAAUAGUAACAGAGGGCAAUAUAAAGCUAAUUCAUGGUAAGAAUAAUGUUACGAUAUCCGCGUUAAGAACUGGAAACAACAAUUAACAACAAGGAACAAACAGAUAAUAACGCCACAGAGUAAGCUGAGUACAAUUAAAAUCCGGUGAAACCAAGUAAGGAGAAACAUGUAACAACCCAAUAAACAACCGUUUCCACACAAGAUUUAUACAAGAAUUUUUCCGAGGUGCUAUACCUCAUAAUCACAAUUUGCGUGUCCCAAGUCACGAACCCUAAUCACUUGGCAUUUUGUUGUAACGAUCCAGCCAGACAUUUUGAGUGUUGUAGCCAUGUUUCCCCAUAUACUACUUAUUUUAUGCUCAAUUAUUAUUAUGUUACUUGUUGAGGUAGUUGGUUUGGCUCCGGGGAUUUUUCGCAAUGAGUUGAGACACAUAGUCUCAAGGUUGGAAGCUUAAGUUGAAAAGGUUGUCCAGAUGUUUGACUUAUGUGUAGAUGGCCCCGAAAUGGAGUUUUGAUGGUUCCGAUAGCUCCGUUGGGAGAUAUUGGACUUUAGAGCGUGUCCGGAUAGUUAUUUGGAGAUACGCAGUUUUUUUUUGGCUUGCAAUGGCAAAAGUUGGAAAAUUAGAAGUUUUGGAAAUUGAGAAGUUUGACCGAGAGUUGACUUUGUGAUUAAUGGGCUCGGAUUUAUUUCUGGGAGUUGAAAUAGGUCUGUUGCAUCAUUUAUGACUUGUGUGUAAAAUUUGAGGUCAAUCGGACGUGAUUUGAUAGGUUUCGGCAUCGAUUGUAGAAGUUGGAAUUUCUUAGUUUUCGUUAGGCUUGAAUUGAGGUGCGAUUCAUGUUUUUGAUAUUGUUUGAUGUGAUUUGAGACCUUGACUAAGUUCGUAUCGUAUUUUAGAACUUGUUGGUAUAUUUGGUUGAGGUUCCGGGGGCCUCGAGUGGUGUUCGGAUGAUUAACAGAUCGAAAUUUGGAAUUGAAGGAUUGCAGAAGUGCACCAAGUUUGGUGCGAUCGCACCUGCGAAGCAUUUGGUCGCAGGUUCGCAACCAUAGAAGAGAAGGAGUCAUCGCAGGAGCGAAUUUAGGUGAGCUAGGGAGUUGCAAGUGCGAAGGGAAUUUCCGCACCUGCGAGUUCGCAAAUGCGGAAGGGGCAUCGCAGAAGCAAAAGGAGGCCUGGUGAGGCAGGUCCGCAGAAGCGAGGCCGCAGGUGCGGGCGCUGUCCGGUGAAACUCCACAGAUGCAGAGCUUUGACCGCAAAAGUGGAACCGUAAGUGUGGUUAAAUGAUGCGCAGAAGCGAAAAGGGCUAGGCAGUGUUUAAAACUCAAGGGCUUUCGUGGUUGUAAUCAUUUUCGACAUUUCAAGCUCGGACUAAAGUGAUUUUUGAGAGGGGUUUUGAGGGAUUUCUUGAGGUAAGUCACUCUUGAUCGCUUGUAUUCAAUAAUAUUGUUCACCCAUUGAAUUUCCCAUCUAUUUUGUGUGUUUUCGAGGUGGAAUUUUAAGAGUUUUAGGCCAGGGAUUGGAAAGUUAAAAUUAGGGAUUUGAGUGAUGAUUUGGUGUUGGAUUUGAGUAACUUUUGUAUGGUUGGACUCGUGGUUGAAUGGGUGUUUGGAUUUUGUAACUUAUAUCGGAUUCCGAGACGUGGGCCCGGGGGUUAACUUUGAGUUGAGUUUUUGACUUUUUAUUAAGAACUUAGCAUUUUCAUAUGGAAUUAAUUCCUAUAGCUUGAGUUGAUUGUAUCGAAUUGUUUGUGCCUCGAUUCGAGAAAUUCAGAGGCAGAUUCGUGAAGCAAGGGCUUGUAAGAGUAGAGAUUUGCACGGUUUGAGGUAAGUAACACUUCUAAACUUGGUUUUGAGGGCAUGAAUCCCUCGUGAUUUUAAUCAAUUUGGACAUUUCAAGCUCGGACUAAGGCGAUUUUUGAGAGGGUUUCUUGAGGGGUUUCUUGAGGUAAGUCACUCUUGAUCAUUUUUAUUCAAUAAUAUUGUUCCCCCAUUGAAUUUUCCGUCUAGUUUGUGUGUUUUUGAGGUGGAAUUUUGAGAGUUUUGGGCUAGGGAUUAGAAAGUUAAAAUUGGGGAUUUGAGUGACGAUUUGGUGUCGGAUUUCAGUAAUUUUGGUAUGGUUGGACUCGUAGUUGAAUGGGCUUCGAAUUUUGUAACUUUUAUCGAAUUCCAAGACGUGGCUCGGGGUUGACUUUUUAGUUGACUUUUUGACUUUUGAUUAAGAACUUAGCAUUUUCAUAUGGAAUAGAUUCCUAUAGCUUGAGUUGAUUGUAUCGAAUUGUUUGUGGCUAGAUUCGAGACAUUCGGAGGCUGAUUCGCGCGGCAAGGGCUUGUUGGAGUAGAGAUUUGCACGGUUUGUGGUAAGUAACACUUCUAAACUUGGUUAUGAGGGUAUGAAUCCCUGAAAUUACGUGAUAUGUUAUUGGUGUUGAGGUGACGCGCAUUCUAAGUGACGGACGUGUGGGCGUACACCAUAGUAAUUGUGAUUUAGUCGAUUCCAUGGAACUAUGUAGCUAUCUUAUCUCAAUAUUAUUACUGAACUCUAUGUUUUAGAGCACUUGAGCUGUGAUUUAUGCUAGAAAACAUGUUUAGGCUAUGUGCAGAUAAAAUUAGGACCCACAGUGGUUGCUCUUUGCUGUUGAGUUAUUUGCUUAAUUGCAGUUAUGUACUCAGUCACAUUCAUCAUUGCAUAUCAUAUCUUAGUCUAUGAUAUCAUAUAUUGUCACAUCAUGUAUCAUUUUUUUGGGCUGCUUAGCAUGAGUGUUGUGAGCCCGAGAGACUGGAGAGAUUGAUGACUGUGUGAGGCCGAGGGCCUGUUUAUGAGUGAUAUUUAUGGGAUCGGGCUGCACGCCGCAGUAUGAUUUAUUGAUUCGUGUCAUGAUUGGCUCAUUAUAGCACUUGGGCAGUAUCUGCCCCUCCGGAGUCUGAACACCCAUAGUGAGCAUAGUUCUAUUGAUUCAAGAUAUUUGAUUCGGGCUGGAUCUGCUAUGUACUGUGCUGAUUGAUUGAGUGUGAUGAGUGAGAAUUGAGACAGUCAGGGUGAGUACUCUGAGAGUGUGAGUACGUGAAGCUUUCAUUGUAUUGCAUCACAUACAACAUGCAUAUUGGCAUAUAGAUAUAUAGAUGUUAUAUUCCUCAGAUCAUUCCGACUUGACAUAUUCUACCUGUAUUGAGCUUGAGUGUUAAACCUGGAAGCAUGUCUAAAUUCUUGUACUUACAUGCAAAUUAUGAAUUUUUUGAGAUAUUAUUGUUUUAUUUUCUGCAAAUUUUUGUACUGUUAGUUCUGUAUGUGGGUUGUACUGUGCGAGCUUGUCACAACUUUCAACCACAGGUUAGACUUGUUACUUAUUGAGUUGGUUGUACUCACGCUACACCCUGCACUUCGUGUGCAGAUCUAGGUGUUUCCGGAUAUGGAGGUUGAUGAUCUUGGAGUUUUCAGCCGUUCUUUGAUUAUCGAGGUAGUUGCCUUGGCGCCCACAGACCUUGACUCUCCUUCCCUUAUCUUUCAUUUUUACUUAUUUCGUUCUACUUUCAAGACAGCGUAUCAAACUUAGUCAUUAUAUAGACGCUCAUGUACUUAGUGACACCCGGGUUUUGGGGAAAUUCUGCAUUGAGUUCUGACGCUUUCUUCUAGUUUUAUGAGAUUUUUCACUUAUUUAAACCUGUUUAGUAUAUUUUGAAUUUACAUGUGUUGGUACGUAUGAGUUGUCGGCUUGCCUAGUAUCAUGAUAGGCGCCAAAAUGACAGGUCGAGCUUUGGGUCGUGACACUUGUGCCCACAUUAAACUUCACAAUCGCACGGACAACUCACGUGCCAAUACCAUUAGUACCUCAUAUUUGUACGGACAACUCACGUACUAAGAGAGUGACAAUAUCUCAUAUCCGCACAGACAACUCACGUGCUAGCAACAACAAUGCCUCAUAACCGCACGGACAACUCACGUGCCAACAGGAGGAAUAUCUCAUAUCCGCAAGGACAACUCACGUGCCAUUAGUACAACUUUCACACAGAAGACAAGUAUACGAGAAUACAUGUAAAUGCUCAAUAAACAUCAAGGUUCAUCUUAUUAAACUGACAUGAGUGAAUAAUUAUAUGUAUGCUUGUGCAAGUGUUCUAUCACAACUCAAGUCAACAAGGGUAGAGACAACGAAUGACACAUAGGAAACAACAUAACAAAACGUAAAAUGCAUGACUCACACAAGGUAGGCACACCACCACACAAUUAUCAUCAAUAACAAUGCCCCAGGACUUGAGGCAUUGUUGGUCCUAUGGCAACAGCUGCAAAACCGUUGCAAUAGACAAGGUUUUUGAUGACCAGUUGCAAUAGACAAGGUAACCGUUGCAACAGAGCUACUGGAACGGUUUAAGGACCGUUUCACCAGGUCGUGUCGCAAUAGCUCUACUACAACGGUACUUGCAACGGUUUGUAUAACCGUUGCUAUUUCACUAUCUAUUACAACGGUUUUUCCUUCUAUUACAACGAAAUUUUUAGUCAAUUGGAACGGUUCAUAAUCGUUGCAAUAUCAUUUUAUGCAAAGGUUGUUAAAGCUAUUGCAACGCCUAGAUUAUGAUAUUACAACGGUUUCGAAUAACUGUAGCAACGGUUUUAUUGAGACUAUAAUCUAGUAAUGAACGUAUAGCAACGGCUCACAGCACCUAUAGCAACAGCUUAUAGAAGCUAUGCAACAUUUCAAACAUACUAGGCUUAGUGUAAAUAAAUAAUUAUGCAUAAUUAAAUGUAAUACACUAAAAUUUAUAUAAAUUAUGAAAUAAAACAAUUCAUAAAAAAAAAAAAAAAUAUCCAACUGAUAAUAUCCAUAAGAGCAAAAUAUCAAAUCGUUUUACAAUUCAAGAGUAUCAUAAGUUUUAAAAUGAAUGAAAAUAAAAGAUUCCUAAAAUAUCUAAAACUUCAUCAACAACUGAAAUCUUCUUAAGCAAGGUCAUCACUGCUUUUGUGGUCCCUUUAUUCAUUUACAUGAUAAAUAAGAGUAUGAGAUAACAUUCAAGUCAUGUUGAUCUUUUUGGCAAUGUUACAUGAUUUAUCAACAGCUCAUCUAUACUUAACUUUUUUUUACUUCAAAUAGACUAAUGAUAAAAGCAUAAGUAUAUAAAUGAUUUGACUGCCAUCGAGUACUGGGUACAUCAACUUUCACCCAUUUCACUAAGAAGGUACAUAUAUACUUAAUAACUACACAAAUUUUCUAUCUCUAGUUUAAGAAAUCUUUUUCAUAACCAAAUUGUGUUUUUUUUUCUUACAGAAGAAGAAUUGGUUUUACUAGAAGUAUAUCUAAGUAUAGAGGAGUUGCAGGGUAAUUAAACCCAUUGCACCUUGUCUAGUAGCCAAUAUCCCAAUCCUUUACUACCUUUUCAUUCAAAAGAAACAAGCGAUUCUUUGAAUUUAAUCAAUUCCAGGAAUCAUCACAAUAACAGACGGGAAGCAAGAAUCAGACGAGGUUGGAAACAAAGAUCUAUACUUAGUUACUUACAAUAAGUACUUUAUUUCACUCCAUUUAAUUUUUUUCAAUUUCUGAUCAAAUCAAGAUCAUUGACAGAGAAAGGAAAAUUUGAAACUUGGCAGUUAUCUAGGAAUAGAUGAAUAGUAGUUUCUUCACAUGAAUUGUACAUGAGAAUAGAUCAAUCAAUUGUAAGAAUGAAAAUCUCUCAAUCUAGCAAAGAAAUCAAAUAUAGUAACUCGCUGUGCAGAGUCAAAUAAUUACCAUAGUUAUUAUCACAAGUACUGGAAAUUUUAACUUUCUACAUCAUGUGGUUUUUUCCCCCUUUUAUUCAUUUCCCCCUUUUUUCCUAUCUUAGAUUAAAAUUCUGGUGUUUCUGUAGAAAUAUAGCUUUCUCAAGUAAUCCUCCUCACGAGAGAGAUGUUAAGUAUGUACGUAUCAUGGGUAUUUAUAGUAGAUAGAAAGUUAUAAGAGGAAGAGAAAGAAGAGUAGAGUUGGUGUAGCAUCUAAAAUAAAUACUGACCUUGUUUGUUACUACUAGUAGAUGGACGAUGAAAUAUUUGUUGAAUAGCAGUUUGUGGUGCAGAGGUAUCGAUCUUCUCCCGAUGAAUGAGCAUCGGAUAUAGCUAGCAUUUCAACCACGUUAUAACAUUUAUAGAGGCCCAGAACCUCCAACUUUUCCUUUUAAAACUCAUUUCGUAACCCCCCAACCAUACAAUUUCACGCGUCCAUGAUGCUUGGAUUCUAUGGCAGAUAUAAUUGCGUCAACUGAUUGAUUGCCAUCUUCACUUUCUUGAGUUGGUCCUUCUUAGGAUAUUCCUCCAACUUCUGGUUAUACAUUAAAAUACUACACAACACAAUAACAAAUAACCAAAAUGAAGAUUUUAUGGUAAGCUAAAACAGAAAAAUAGCAACAAUAUUUUCAAAUGAAAAACCAUGGAAAAAUCUCUAAAGUUCUGCACAUUAAAAUCAAGUGUGCAAUAUUCAAUUAAAACACUAUUACAAGUGUGUUAGCCAUAGAACCGAAGCAUCAUGACAAAUCAAUUCAUCUGCCAGAGGUGCAAAAUUGCUCAAAAUUGUAUAAUUGUUCCUACUUUCCAUCCUAUUAUUAAUUAUAUCGUUAGCUCUAAGCUGGGCAUGUCACAUGACGUUCUUGGAAGAAAAUAUACUUUAAUCAGACGAACAAAGAAAUCACGCUUAUAAUAAUUUAAAUAGAUUUUACAAUUGAACUAAGUAACAUGUCAUGCAAAAUACUGAAGUAACAUGACAUUCUUUAUAACUUUUGAUGAAUCAAUUUGAAACUGAAUUUCUUGUCUCUUAAAAUUGUAAAAUGAGGCUACAAGGCAUUAACUAUUAAAGCAGAAUAUUCUACUACAAUUAAGUCAACUAAAAAAUGAGAAAAAGGAAAACAAAAUGCUGCUUUCAAACCCACAAGACCAACUUCAUCCAUUAGCAGGCAAGAGUUUGGAGCCACAGUUAGCUAAAGCUAAUAGGAAAGAGCCAUGCUAGAAUCAUUCAACUUUUUGGACUACCUCCUAAACCACACCAAAACACAAAAUAAGCAUACAAAACUCAUUCUCAACAGUAAUCCAAAGAUGACCACUGAUAAAAUACACACCAACACCUUGGUCUUAGAUUUUUUGUGCUUCCGUAGAUGAUUUUACUGACUUUCUAAGAUGAUUCAUAAGAAAGAGUUGACAAGGGAUGAUUAGCAGCUACUAAAACCCACAAAUAGCCUUAAAAAGGGGCAAUCAAUCAAUUUUAAAGAUCCAACAAAAAUGUCAAGAAGCAAAAGAACCCUAACAGAUCCCCAAUUUUAAGAAUAAAGAGCAAAAAUAGUAGAAUUUUAAUAUAAAAAAACCCUAACAUAUCCCUAAUUUAGAUUCAAAGCUUCAAUAGAAAGCAAAAUGAUUAAUUCAACAAGAAAUUAGUAAGUGAAACAAGAAAGAGAUGAUUAAUUCAUCAAGAAACUCCCAAAUCUUAAAUACAUUACCACACAUCUUAAAUUAGGGAUUUUAGAUUCUGCACAUUUAACAUGCAACAAGCAGUAUGUGGACUAAACGAAAUCUAAGAUCGCUAAAACAUCUAUCCAACAAAACACACUUAUCUUACAAACAAAAUCCGUCACCCAAUAGAAUUUUACAGUUACCGGCAACGAUGUACAACUACCGGCAACGAGAUGCUAUAUAGAUACAGGUUUCCAAAGCUAUUUGGCACAGAUUCUGGUGAUGAUUUACAUGUACAACUACUGAUGAUGGAUUUGGGAUGAUUCUUCCAUAGAUCUCAAGAAAAUGCUGAAGAAUUUUGGAAGAGACUUUGUUCCUUAGGUCUUUGAGUGUGUUGAGGUUAUUUGGAGUUUUAGGAGUUUUGCAGAUGUUAUAAUUAAUUAAAAGAUAAAAGAUAAAAAAAAAUAAAAGAAUAGAGUUGGACUAGCAUAGUGAAAUGGGGGAAAAAGAGGAGGGAGCAAUCCGACCCAAUAGAUAUUUUUACCCCAAAAGCCGUC
This 8363-nucleotide long non-coding RNA is filed under the name Nicotiana tabacum (common tobacco). Its description in RNAcentral is "long non-coding RNA (NTAB_LNC011827)". Lineage: Eukaryota; Viridiplantae; Streptophyta; Magnoliopsida; Solanales; Solanaceae. The record is from RNAcentral.